GUUACAUUGCCCUCCAUGAGGAGACUGCGUGGCAGGCUGACUACCUGUUAUGCAAGUGCAGCAAGGAGCCAAGAUAUUAAGAGCUCAUCAUGGAUAUCCUGCGGCCAGCCUUUCACUGAGCCUGCCAUACUGAAGCCCAAGUUCGGCACAGUUACCGACUAUCAGCUACUUCUAUUGGACAAAUGAGAUCCACCCGCUGCUGUUGCAGGAGCGCCGGGCAGUUUGGCUACUACGUCACACCCCCACUGUGCCCACAGACAGCCACACCCCCAGGGACUACACAGCCACAGACGACACAACAGUUUUCUACAACCAUCCAUCUCCCUACCACCAGCUAUAAUAACCCGGAGGCCCGUCAUUGUUACUCCUUUCCGAUGACAGCUUCCCAGGGCUACUUGUCAUCACUAUCGGGCUCCGAGGAGCAUUCCUCGGAGAUGAGGCCAUACCCCAAACUAUUUAAUAAAAUGUCAUAUUGUG
This is a long non-coding RNA of Oncorhynchus kisutch (coho salmon), 477 nucleotides long. RefSeq lists it as uncharacterized. The transcript has 4 exons. The record is from RefSeq and is a predicted model, not a curated record. NCBI's taxonomy places the organism in Eukaryota, Metazoa, Chordata, Actinopteri, Salmoniformes, Salmonidae.